This 492-nucleotide ribosomal RNA is filed under the name uncultured bacterium. RNAcentral describes it as "partial 16S ribosomal RNA". It matches the Rfam family "Bacterial small subunit ribosomal RNA", at positions 29 to 507 of the family's 1533-position model. The record is from RNAcentral.
AGUGAACGCUGGCGGUAGGCCUAACACAUGCAAGUCGAACGGCAGCACAGUAAGAGCUUGCUCUUACGGGUGGCGAGUGGCGGACAGGUGAGGAAUACAUCGGAAUCUACUUUUUCGUGGGGGAUAACGUAGGGAAACUUACGCUAAUACCGCAUACGACCUACGGGUGAAAGCAGGGGAUCUUCGGACCUUGCACGAUUGAAUGAGCCGAUGUCGGAUUAGCUAGUUGGCGGGGUAAAGGCCCACCAAGGCGACGAUCCGUAGCUGGUCUGAGAGGAUGAUCAGCCACACUGGAACUGAGACACGGUCCAGACUCCUACGGGAGGCAGCAGUGGGGAAUAUUGGACAAUGGGCGCAAGCCUGAUCCAGCCAUACCGCGUGGGUGAAGAAGGCCUUCGGGUUGUAAAGCCCUUUUGUUGGGAAAGAAAGGCAGCAGGUUAAUACCCCGCUGUUCUGACGGUACCCAAAGAAUAAGCACCGGCUAACUUCGUG